GAUGAACGCUGGCGGCGUGCCUAAUACAUGCAAGUCGAGCGAACAGAUGAGGAGCUUGCUCCUCUGACGUUAGCGGCGGACGGGUGAGUAACACGUGGAUAACCUACCUAUAAGACUGGGAUAACUUCGGGAAACCGGAGCUAAUACCGGAUAAUAUAUUGAACCGCAUGGUUCAAUAGUGAAAGACGGUUUUGCUGUCACUUAUAGAUGGAUCCGCGCCGCAUUAGCUAGUUGGUAAGGUAACGGCUUACCAAGGCAACGAUGCGUAGCCGACCUGGGAGGGUGAUCGGCCACACUGGAACUGAGACACGGUCCAGACUCCUACGGGAGGCAGCAGUAGGGAAUCUUCCGCAAUGGGCGAAAGCCUGACGGAGCAACGCCGCGUGAGUGAUGAAGGUCUUCGGAUCGUAAAACUCUGUUAUUGGGGAAGAACAAAUGUGUAAGUAACUAUGCACGUCUUGACGGUACCUAAUCAGAAAGCCACGGCUAACUACGUG
Molecule: ribosomal RNA, 497 nt
Filed under: uncultured bacterium
Lineage: Bacteria
Description: partial 16S ribosomal RNA
Rfam family: Bacterial small subunit ribosomal RNA
Source: RNAcentral